Molecule: ribosomal RNA, 468 nt
Filed under: uncultured bacterium
Lineage: Bacteria
Description: partial 16S ribosomal RNA
Rfam family: Bacterial small subunit ribosomal RNA
Source: RNAcentral
GAUGAACGCUGGCGGCGUGCUUAACACAUGCAAGUCGAACGGAAAGGCCAUGCUUUUGUUGGGUGCUCGAGUGGCGAACGGGUGAGUAACACGUGUGUAACCCGCCCUUUUCUUUGGGAUAACUUUAGGUAACUGGGGCUAUUAGCGGAUAGGAUCUCCUGCUGCGUGUUGGGGGUUGGUAAGUUUCGGCGGUUGGGGAUGGACUCGCGGCUUAUCAGCUUGUUGGUGGGGUAGUUGCUUACCACGGCUUUGACGGGUAGCCUGCCUGAGAGGUUGACCGGCCACAAUGGGACUGAGAGACGGACCAGACUCCUACCGGAGGCAGCAGUGGAGAAUAUUGCGGAAUGGGCGGAAGCCUGAUGCAACAACGCCGCGGGCGGGAUGACGACCUUCGGGUUGUAAACCGCUUUCGCCUGUAACGAAGCGGGAGUGACGGUAAUGGGUAAAGAAGCACCGGCUAACUACGUG